AGUAGGUAGCUGAAAUUCAUUAUGAGUUUGUUCAAUUUGAACUUAGCUGACUAACKUUCUGUACUACUGACAUUCACUUCCAGUCAUUUCUGCUCCGGURCUGGACCCAUGAAUGUGUUUAUUUUCCACMGCUCAGAGUGGUUAUUACAUUGUCUUAACCUGUGUUUCUUUCCUACGGUAGUUAUGGGUACACUCAAAAUGGCUGCCAGACCACCCCAUUAUGUCAUCAUUGACUUGGAAUGGGGACUUCCGUUCUAUUCAUUCUAGUUCUAAGGUCAAUACUCCCAAAAGGCAGUCUGAAAAGUAGCUGAAUUUGUAGCUAGAUUUUACUGAUAAAAAUCACUGGAUGGGUCUGAUCUAAAUUGGCAAAUCUCUUCUGAUCUGAUACAGCUGUAUUGAUGUCAAAGUAAACUGGUCUGAUCUGAUACAGCUGUGUUGAUGUUUCUAUCAAAGUAAACUGGUCUGAUCUGAUACAGCUGUGUUGAUGUUUCUAUCAAAGUAAAAAUGUCAUGUGAUUGAUGACGUUUGAAGCUUUGGACGUCACACAGCCGUCUAAGACAGUACAGUAUUUAAGAUAGGCAGAAACUGCUUCUCCAAUAGAAAUCCCCGAUCACAGGUGUAGGCGAUGUCAUCAUGGCGAUGAAUCAUGUUUCACUCCUCUCAUUGACUUCUCAAACCCAAAUCCCUGGCCUGUUCUGAUUGGUCUAUUUUGCAAGUGUUCCAGGAAAUCCCAGGGUGUUGGAACUGCCUGCCAGAGAGCGCUGACCUCUGCUGUACGCUUUUUGUUUUUAACUACAUAUUUCACCUCUCAAAAAAGGCUAAAAAGGUCUUCAUUUCACUCUACUGGGGAACCUAGAGGCCAUAGAUUGCCCCAGGGGCUUCAAAGCCAAAGAGAGACGACAAUGUGUUGAUAUAGAUGAGUGUAAUGAGUGGGACAUUUCCCCACCCUGUGGAAGUAAUGCCACGUGUUACAACACACAGGGGAGCUUCUACUGUCACUGUCUACCUGGGUUCAAAUCCACAACAACUGUCAACUUUACUGCUCACACUGGAGAGUGUAAGGACCUCAAUGAGUGUCUGGAGAAACCACAGGUUUGUGGGAACAAUACCAUUUGCCUCAACACCAUCGGGAGCUUCAACUGCCAGUGUCGACCUGGGUUCAGAUCUAACUUAACAACGUCAUAGACACUGUGAGGAUGAGGAUGAGUGUGUGUGGGUUCCCCCGGUGUGCGGCGCUCUGGGCAUGUGCACAAAACACCUGGCCGAUACACCUGCACCUGUCCGUCAGGGCUCAGUAACCACGGCAACAACACCCCGCCCCUGCACAGACAUAGAUGAGUGUAAUGAGAUCGCUGGAGUCUGUGGAGUGGGCGGGGACUGCAGAACCAGAAAGGAAGCUACAGUUGCCUCUGUCAACCUUGGAUACAGUAACUACACAAACAAACAGGCUCAGUGCUCAGUACUGACCUGUGACCAGUUCAAAGCGAAUGAGACUCCUGGACAGGUGAGAUUUACAGUACCUGGACCUGAUGAGUCCUUAUACAGCAGCUGAACCGCUAGACAUAGAAUCUACAUUAUGGCAUCAUUGACUUGAAUGGGGAGGCCCAUUCUACUCAUUCUAGCUCUGUAGCUGAACCAUGUUUGCUUUGAAUGAUAUAGAUUAUUUACUGAAGGGUAAAUUUUCCUUCUUGCCACUCUCUCU
Salvelinus sp. IW2-2015 is the source of this 1702-nucleotide long non-coding RNA. RefSeq lists it as uncharacterized. Lineage: Eukaryota; Metazoa; Chordata; Actinopteri; Salmoniformes; Salmonidae. The record is from RefSeq and is a predicted model, not a curated record.